UGGGGAAUUCUGGACAAUGGGCGCAAGCCUGAUCCAGCCAUGCCGCGUGCAGGAUGAAGGCCUUCGGGUUGUAAACUGCUUUUGUACGGAACGAAAAGGUUCUUUCUAAUAAAGAGAGCUCAUGACGGUACCGUAAGAAUAAGCACCGGCUAACUACGUGCCAGCAGCCGCGGUAAUACGUAGGGAGCAAGCGUUAAUCGGAAUUACUGGGCGUAAAGCGUGCGCAGGCGGUUAUGUAAGACAGUUGUGAAAUCCCCGGGCUCAGCCUGGGAACUGCAUCUGUGACUGCAUAGCUAGAGUACGGUAGAGGGGGAUGGAACUCCGCGUGUAGCAGUGAAAUGCGUAGAUAUGCGGAGGAACACCGAUGGCGAAGGCAAUCCCCUGGACCUGUACUGACGCUCAUGCACGAAAGCGUGGGGAGCAAACA
Molecule: ribosomal RNA, 427 nt
Filed under: uncultured bacterium
Lineage: Bacteria
Description: bacterial SSU rRNA
Rfam family: Bacterial small subunit ribosomal RNA
Source: RNAcentral